GCAUGUUAUUGGGAAUGGUUGGUAAAGUGUGUUAGGAGUGUUGGAGGUCAUGGUUGGGCACCCAAGGUUCAUGGAAUGUGUCCUUGUUAGUCAGUUGAGCAACUUAAGUGAAUAAAGGCCAUUGUAAACGUUUACAGGGCAGUGUAAACGUUUACACGAGAGUUUUUGUGAAUUUGUACAAAAAGUUUUUCACAAGGAUCCAUUUUUUUGAACACAGCGGACCAACUUUGUUUUUUUUUUUUAACAUGAGGACAUUCGUUGUUAUUGGUAAUGAUUGGUAAAGUAUGUUCGGAGUGUUGGAGGUCAUGGUUGGGCACCCAAGGUUCAUGGAAUGUGUCCUUGUUAGUCACUUGAGCAGCUUAAGUGAAAAAAGGCCAUUGUAAACGUUUACAGGGCAGUGUAAACGUUUACACGAGAGUUUUUGUGAUUUUGUACAGAAAGUUCUUCACAGGGAUCCACUUUUUUGAACACAGGGGACAACCUUUGUUUUUUUUUUUAAUUUUUUCACAUGAGGACAUUCUUUGUUAUUGGGAAUGGUUGGUAAAGUGUGUUAGGAGUGUUGGAGGUCAUGUUUGGGCACCCAAGGUUCAUGGAAUGUGUCCUUGUUAGUCACUUGAGCAGCUUAAGUGAAAAAAGGCCAUUGUAAUAUCAUCAAUGACGGGGGCGAACUAAGAUACGACAAGCCAGAAUCCGUUACAAAUUCAAGAAAGCUUUCGCGUAAACGUUUACCACCUAUUGGUAUACAUUUACACCACCCAUUUUCAAUACACUUGACUUUGGAUUUCAUCCAACCACUUUCUGUGAACACAACACCUCCCUCAAUGUUAUUUGGGGUCCCCAAAAUCAACACACCACCCCCAACAAACAUCUUGAAACCAAAAAAAUCAAAAACCCAUGCAAAGUUUGCCAAAAAGUUAAANUUUGACAUCUUGGUCCCCUGUGUACAAAAAAGUGGUCCCUUGUGAAGGACUUUCUGUACAAAUUCAAGAAAGCUUUCGCGUAAA
Molecule: long non-coding RNA, 1004 nt
Filed under: Vigna radiata
Lineage: Eukaryota; Viridiplantae; Streptophyta; Magnoliopsida; Fabales; Fabaceae
Description: long non-coding RNA (VRAD_LNC017871)
Source: RNAcentral